GCCGGGUGCGGUGGCAUGUGCCUGUAAUCCCAGCUACUGGGGAGGCUGAGGUGGGAGGAUCGCUUGAGCCCAGGAGUUCUGGGCUGUACUGUGCUAUGCCGAUUGGGUGUCCGCACUAAGUUUGGCAUCACUGGGGUGACCUCCUGGGAGUGGGGACCACCAGGUUGCCUAAGGAGGGGUGAACCGGCCCAGGUCGGAAACGGAGCAGAUCACAACUCCCGUGCUGAUCAGCAGUUAGAUGGCAUCUGUGAAUAGCCACUACACUCAGCCUGGGCAACAUAGCAAGAACCCGUCUCU
This 297-nucleotide signal recognition particle RNA is filed under the name Saimiri boliviensis boliviensis (Bolivian squirrel monkey). RNAcentral describes it as "Metazoan signal recognition particle RNA (ENSSBOG00000002954.1)". It matches the Rfam family "Metazoan signal recognition particle RNA". Rfam says of the family: The signal recognition particle (SRP) is a universally conserved ribonucleoprotein. It is involved in the co-translational targeting of proteins to membranes. The record is from RNAcentral. Lineage: Eukaryota; Metazoa; Chordata; Mammalia; Primates; Cebidae.